Molecule: transfer RNA, 62 nt
Filed under: Calanus sinicus
Lineage: Eukaryota; Metazoa; Arthropoda; Copepoda; Calanoida; Calanidae
Description: tRNA-Asp
Source: RNAcentral
AGAUAUUUAAUUUAUUAAAAUAUUAGUUUGUCAAAUUAAAAAUACCCUUAGGGUAGUAUCUA